This 23-nucleotide non-coding RNA is filed under the name Cricetulus griseus (Chinese hamster). The record is from RNAcentral. Lineage: Eukaryota; Metazoa; Chordata; Mammalia; Rodentia; Cricetidae.
AGGGACUGGAGAGAUGGCUCUGA